Molecule: long non-coding RNA, 257 nt
Filed under: Homo sapiens (human)
Lineage: Eukaryota; Metazoa; Chordata; Mammalia; Primates; Hominidae
Description: LHRI_LNC1688.6
Source: RNAcentral
GUGAGCCAGCCAGGAGUGAAGACGACAGGUUUGCUGUCUCCUUUGCCUGUGGGUCUGGGGCCCCAGCCUGGGGGAGACCCGUGACUCCAGGCAUGCUAUCAGGACAACUUCAACCCGAGGGGAGAUCAGCUCUCCCGCAACCUGGUGCCGCUCUCUGACAGCACAACAGAACCUAAGGGGCUACAGGAUGAUUCAAGGAACAGUGUGCUACAGGACCUCGGUGUGAUCCUUGUGGCCUUAUAUUAUUAGUUCAUUUG